This 51-nucleotide transfer RNA is filed under the name Spinibdella lignicola. RNAcentral's name for it is "tRNA-Asn". Lineage: Eukaryota; Metazoa; Arthropoda; Arachnida; Trombidiformes; Bdellidae. The record is from RNAcentral.
AUUAGUAAAGUUUUAUAAUAUUUCUCCGUUAAAGAAAAGAUUUAUCUAAUU